AUGCGCAGUGUGUUUAGUUGUACACAUGCCCAUCUGAGGCUUUUUUCCCUUUUCUGGUGGUGUGCCCUUGGAAGGUCAUACUCCGCCAUUUUGUCUCUUAAUGUGCAUGCCCAGGAAGUUCCUUCUCUCUGGCAUCUAUAUUCAGUGAAUACUUCAGUGCAGUAGCUGUGGAUCAUCAGGAAAUGACCUCUCCCUUGCACUGGCUACCAAUUUGUCACUUUUAGAGAGUCAGUUUGAUAAUUGUUGAACUGUACCCUUAACUUGUGAAAUUUGACCUCACUCUAGGUAAUGUCAGAAUUGCAUUGCACACACCUGGCACAUUGUCAGCAAGUUGCAGAAAACUAAAGAUAUUUUGAAAGCUGUCAGAGAAAAGUGACACAUUACAUAUAAGGGAAUUGUGAUUUGAAUGAUUGAUGUUUUCUCAUCAGAAAAAAAUAAUGGAGACCAGAAGACAGUGGAACAACACCUUUAAAGAAUAAAACAAAACUCAAAACUACAUUAAAUUCUAUAUCCAGUGAAAAUAAUCCUAAAAGAAUGAUGGUGAAGUAAAAUACAUUUCCAGAUAAAGAAAACUAAAAGUAUAUGUAGCCAGUGGACACUUACUAUAAGAAGUACCAAAGAAGUUCUUCAGGUUGAAGAGAAAUACAACCAGAUGGAAAAUCAGGUCUUCGGGGCAAAACAUAAAGAGCACUGAAAAUGAUAAUAUUGCAUCAUAGGAUUUAUAAUGUGUAUAAAUGUAAUGCAUUUGACAAAAAUAGCGAAAAGGAUGAAAAGGUAUUGAGCAGCAUUAUUCAGUCAACAUGUCCCGACGGUGUGUGGAGUGACCUUCUAGAUUUUGUGGGGAGUGAUGAUGGCAAUGUUUCCUGGAGAAGCAUGCUCAAUAAAGGAGAAAUGGGAUUAACACAACUGUGACAAAACUGCACUAAGUGAUUGGAAAGUAGGAAGCGUGUGGGCAAUUGAAUAGGCUACUGGCCUGAUUAAACCAGGAAAUCUCAGGCA
Molecule: long non-coding RNA, 999 nt
Organism: Symphalangus syndactylus (siamang)
Lineage: Eukaryota; Metazoa; Chordata; Mammalia; Primates; Hylobatidae
Source: RefSeq, a predicted model, not a curated record